CCCGCUCAAGAACUAGAAAGGAUUGACGGGGGCCCGCACAAGCGGAGGAACAUGUGGUUUAAUUCGAUGAUACGCGAGGAACCUUACCCGGGCUUGAAAUGCAUCUGACCGGCCUUGAAAGAGGCACUCCCUUCGGGGCAGAUGUGUAGGUGCUGCAUGGUUGUCGUCAGCUCGUGCCGUGAGGUGUCGGCUUAAGUGCCAUAACGAGCGCAACCCUCAUCAUUAGUUACCAUCAGGUAAGGCUGGGGACUCUAAUGAGACUGCCAUCGUAAGAUGUGAGGAAGGUGGGGAUGACGUCAAAUCAGCACGGCCCUUACGUCCGGGGCGACACACGUGUUACAAUGGGUGGUACAAAGGGCAGCUACCUGGCGACAGGAUGCUAAUCUCGAAAACCGCUCUCAGUUCGGAUCGGAGUCUGCAACUCGACUCCGUGAAGCUGGAUUCGCUAGUAAUCGCGCAUCAGCCACGGCGCGGUGAAUACGUUCCCGGGCCUU
Molecule: ribosomal RNA, 494 nt
Filed under: uncultured Proteiniphilum sp.
Lineage: Bacteria; Pseudomonadati; Bacteroidota; Bacteroidia; Bacteroidales; Dysgonomonadaceae
Description: bacterial SSU rRNA
Rfam family: Bacterial small subunit ribosomal RNA
Source: RNAcentral